GACGAACGCUGGCGGCGUGCUUAACACAUGCCAGUCGAACGAAGAGCGAUGGAAGCUUGCUUCUAUCAAUCUUAGUGGCGAACGGGUGAGUAACGCGUAAUCAACCUGCCCUUCAGAGGGGGACAACAGUUGGAAACGACUGCUAAUACCGCAUACGAUCUAAUCUCGGCAUCGAGGAUAGAUGAAAGGUGGCCUCUACAUGUAAGCUAUCACUGAAGGAGGGGAUUGCGUCUGAUUAGCUAGUUGGAGGGGUAACGGCCCACCAAGGCGAUGAUCAGUAGCCGGUCUGAGAGGAUGAACGGCCACAUUGGGACGGAGACACGGCACAGACUCCUACGGGAGGCAGCAGUGGGGAAUCUUCCGCAAUGGACGAAAGUCUGACGGAGCAACGCCGCGUGAGUGAUGACGGCCUUCGGGUUGUAAAGCUCUGUUAAUCGGGACGAAAGGCCUUCUUGCGAAUAGUGAGAAGGAUUGACGGUACCGGAAUAGAAAGCAACGGCUAACUACGUG
This 510-nucleotide ribosomal RNA is filed under the name uncultured bacterium. RNAcentral describes it as "partial 16S ribosomal RNA". It matches the Rfam family "Bacterial small subunit ribosomal RNA", at positions 28 to 507 of the family's 1533-position model. The record is from RNAcentral.